GUGCCCUUUUCAAGUUUUGUACUAAGAAGUGGUUUUUACAACAAAACAAAAGCUUGUAUCACAUGAAAUUGAUCCCUCAACUCAUGUGUAGUCAUUACAUUGAAGGGUUACUCUCAUUCGAGGGGUUUUUCUUAACCUUUUGGAUAGAUUUCUUCAUAACGACAGUUUUCUUUUCUUGACCAUCGAAAAUGAAAAAGUUGAGACGUAAAACUAUGCUUGAAACACGUGUGUCACUAAAACGACUUUAAAGUAGUCUCUCUAAUCAAUAACCUAUAUUAAAGUCAAAGGAUAAUUU
Molecule: long non-coding RNA, 295 nt
Filed under: Mytilus galloprovincialis (Mediterranean mussel)
Lineage: Eukaryota; Metazoa; Mollusca; Bivalvia; Mytilida; Mytilidae
Source: RNAcentral